CCUACGGGAGGCAGCAGUGAGGAAUAUUGGUCAAUGGACGAGAGUCUGAACCAGCCAAGUAGCGUGAAGGAUGACUGCCCUAUGGGUUGUAAACUUCUUUUAUAUGGGAAUAAAAUGUUCCACGUGUGGGAUUUUGUAUGUACCAUAUGACUAAGGAUCGGCUAACUCCGUGCCAGCAGCCGCGGUAAUACGGAGGAUCCGAGCGUUAUCCGGAUUUAUUGGGUUUAAAGGGAUCGUAGGUGGAUUGUUAAGUCAGUUGUGAAAGUUUGCGGCUCAACCGUAAAAUUGCAGUUGAAACUGGCAGUCUUGAGUACAGUAGAGGUGGGCGGAAUUCGUGGUGUAGCGGUGAAAUGCUUAGAUAUCACGAAGAACUCCGAUUGCGAAGGCAGUUCACUGGACUGCAACUGACACUGAGGCUCGAAAGUGUGGGUAUCAAACAGGAUUAGAUACCCCAGUAGUC
This 460-nucleotide ribosomal RNA is filed under the name uncultured bacterium. RNAcentral's name for it is "partial 16S ribosomal RNA". It matches the Rfam family "Bacterial small subunit ribosomal RNA", at positions 338 to 795 of the family's 1533-position model. The record is from RNAcentral.